UACGUAGGGGGCAAGCGUUGUCCGGAUUUAUUGGGCGUAAAGAGCGUGUAGGCGGUCCGGUAAGUCGGCUGUGAAAGUCCAGGGCUCAACCCUGGGAUGCCGACCGAUACUGUCGGACUAGAGUUCGGAAGAGGCGAGUGGAAUUCCCGGUGUAGCGGUGAAAUGCGCAGAUAUCGGGAGGAACACCAAUGGCGAAGGCAGCUCGCUGGGACGUUACUGACGCUGAGACGCGAAAGCGUGGGGAGCAAACAGG
This 253-nucleotide ribosomal RNA is filed under the name uncultured bacterium. Its description in RNAcentral is "partial 16S ribosomal RNA". It matches the Rfam family "Bacterial small subunit ribosomal RNA", at positions 524 to 776 of the family's 1533-position model. The record is from RNAcentral.